Anas platyrhynchos (mallard) is the source of this 6188-nucleotide non-coding RNA. The record is from RefSeq and is a predicted model, not a curated record. NCBI's taxonomy places the organism in Eukaryota, Metazoa, Chordata, Aves, Anseriformes, Anatidae.
UGGGGUGGCGGUGCCGGUGGCAGCGGGGCAGCUCGGUGGCCUGGGAGCGAGCAUGUGGCUGCAGCACCCGCUGCCAGGACAGGCAGGGUGCCAGCGCCGGGCAUGCGGGUGGCAGGGGCACUGUGGUGGUGGGCCUGCGUGGGGCAGCAGGAGAGAGAGACAGAGAGACAGAGACCCCCCGGUGUGGGCGCACGGCACCGGCAGGUGCCACCUCCUGUGGCCCCUGUCACCCACCCGAGCCACCCCCGUGGGCACAGGUGGCCGUGGUGUCACUGGGGGAACUGGGGGGACUGGGACACGAGGUGUGGGGAGCUGGGGGAGGGGGCUGAUGAAGGAGGGAGGAGCCUGUGCAGUGCAGUGGGCAGGGCCUGGUGGUUAAUUAGCAGUGGGAGGAGCCAGUCAUUGAUGAGUUUUCAGAGCCCCAUGGCUACCUUGUGCUCGUAGAUGCAGCCCCUGCUGCCUGGGGACAGAUGCCGCAUCCCUGGGGCGUGGGGAGGCAGCCCCAUUGGGGAGCACGUGGUGGUGCUGCCCUGAGACAUGCGUUGGUGUGGGGACUGCGAUGGCUCUGUCCCCAUGUGCCGCUGUCCCCUACUGUGAGAGGGCGGCCGUGUGAGCCUUGGGGCUGUGGGCGAGGAGGGUGCAGGGGUUUUGCCAUGGGGAGCAUCCCUGCAGGGCUGAGGAAGGCGCUCCUGCUGCCAUGGAGCGUGCUGUGGGGACAGAGGUGCGCAGGGAGCUGUGGGGUCACUGCACGCUGCACCGCUUUGGGGAUGGUGCUGCUGGGGGGACACGGAGCGAUGGUGCUGUGUGUGUGGGGUGCCCGAGGCUCUCUGCACCGUGGGCUUCACCCUGCUCUGGUGCUCUGACAAGCAGCGUGUCUCUGCCUGGUGCCACCAGCCCGAGCCCUGCCUCUGCCUUGGGCACCGCCUGAUUCCCCCGGUGCCCGUUCCCGUUGUGCUGACGCACGCCUCCCUGCUCCCGAUUCCCAGCCUCCGGCCCUGGCGGCCACGUUUCUGGAGCAGCCGGGGCUGCGAGCUGGGUUAAUGUCACCCUGCCCCAGGCGCCUCCUUCGAGCCAGCGCUGGGGCUGCGGGCAUGCUGUGCCUGGAGCAAACAGCCUCCAAAAAGCCACCCCAGGGGCAGAGAGGUGGCUGAGCCCUGCCCCAGGGCACUGCGCUCUCUGUGCCGUGAGUGCCACAUCCCCAGCCCUUUGCUGGGGAGGCUUCAGGAGGCAGUGGGACGGAGCUUAAUGCCCAGGUGCAGAGGGACCCGUGCUGGAGAGGCUGGGGAGGCCGUGCUGAGGGGUUUGGUGGGGGUUUGCAGGCGCAGCACCCCCAGGAGGCAGCAGGCCAGGCCUGUGGGGCUCAGGCGUGCUGUUCCCCUGAGUCCAUUUUGUCCGUGCCCGGAGCUGUGCGGUGAGACGGGGCGUCAUGUGAAAUGGAGGAGCCGUGCCAUGGCCCUGCAGCCCUGCCCUGACACCCUGCCAGGCCCCGGCGCAUGGGCUCGCCGGCACCCAGCACCGAGGCUCCGGCUGCUCGGGGGGCUCCCCUCCUGGGGACCCGGCUCUCCAGGGGUCGUGGGUGUCCCACUGGUGGCAGGGCCGGGCAGGGACACCCUGUCCUUGUUCCCUGGGUGCUCUGUGGGUCAGGCUAUGGCCAGAUGGGCGCAAGGUGCCCCAGCAGGACGGGGUGCUGCUCUGGGCUCGGGGGCCCUGUCCCCGGUGUCUGGGGGGUGCAGAGGUCUCCGGUGGGUGCAGAGCCCUGUCCUCCGCCUCCUCCUCCUCCCCCUGAGCUGCAGCUCUCCGUGGGGCUGACGCCUGGCUCUCCCAAGGUGGCUCAGGUCACGGCUGGAGGGGUGGGGGGGCUCUGUGCUGCCCGGCUCCGCUGCUCAGCCCCGGCAGGUCCUCCUGCAGCGGCUCUGCAUUCCCCCUUGCUCGCACAAGCCCGAUUUAGCUCUUCUAAUCCCUUGCCCUGAAUCUGUCGCUCCACCCCACUAAUGAUUUUCUCCUGCUCUUCUCCCUGCGUGUGUCAGUGCCUGGCGUGGGGAUCGGGGUAGCACACGCGUGGGGCUGGCCAGGAGGGGUCCCCGGGGUGGGCUGCCCCCCUGUGUCCCACCUUUUUGCCCCUGCACCACCAGUGCAGGUUCUCCCUCAGUUUCCUGGCCCUGUGGGUGUAGGUGGGGUGGGGUGGGGUGGGGUGUGUCCCCUCUCCCACUGCCACCAACACCAGGCUGCUCUGGGGUCUCAGGGGUCUGCAGACCCCAGAUCCUUCCCAGGUCCCCACCUGUAGUUCCAUCAUUUCCAGGCCCGCUAAUGCCUGUAUCACUUCUCGGCUGCAUUUCCUGAAUUUUUCCCCGUAAGCCGGAUUAAAUCACCUCUCAAAAACUCCAGCUAAUCUCCUUUUAAAGAGCCGAGCCCUCCCUCGCCUGUGCCAGCUCUGGGUCUGCAUCUUAUUUCAAGGUUGGCUUUGCCCGUCCCGGCCCCAGCGCAGGGUCUCUCCGCUCGCCUCCACCUGCACUCAGCAAUCACGGCGCCCUGUAACCUUUCCUCCUCGGGGAGCAGAGAGGCUGGGCGCAGGGGCAGGGGAGGCACACGGGGCUGUCCGUGUGCGGUGGCCCCGCACGGCCCCUUCCCUCUGUCUGUUGCUGGGGGCGAAGCCUUCCUGCAGCGUGGGGGACGCCCUGGGGGCUCCGUGCGUUUUGGCACAGUGCCCCCCUUGCCCCCUGUUUUUUUCCCCAGCAGUGGGGCCUCUGCGGUUGGUGCUGUGCGGUGGUGAGUAGCCCUGGUGUGGACGGCCAUGCUGACAGUGUCUCCGGUGGCUCGGCACCUCUGGCCGUUUAUCUCAGUGCCUAAUUUUAGGCCCUUACUUCGCAGAGCUGUGUCUGCGCCUUGUGCCAGGUGCCCCUUCCCUCCGGAGCCCCUGCCAGCCCUGCAGAGCGUUUUGGGGCUGCACGCAGCCCCACGCCUCCCUCUGCCUUCAGCUCCUUCCCUUGGCUCUCUCCGGGGCUGCCUCAGUUUCCCCUUGGAGCUCUGCCCCAUCUCCCCGCUGUGCCCACCCUGGCCCCACCGUGGGGUGUGCACGGUGUCUGUGGGGGCUGCCACGUCCCACCUGAGCAUGGCACAGCUGGUGCCACCUUGGUUUCAGGGACAGGUCCCCAGGCUGGGCCGUGCAGGGGGGACGGGGCCUUGGGGACCUCCCCGAGGUGGCUCUGCCUGCAGCCACCUGGGCAUGGGGCUCGCACAGGUGCCCCCCGGGGCCGGGUCCCCUCCUGGGGCUGUGGGGACCGGGCAGGGGAGCAGCGUGUGCAGCUGUCCAGUCAGUCACCUCCACCCCUGCCCUCUCUCCCGCUGCCGGGGGGUUAUUUUUGCUGAGGAAUGUGCCGUCCCCUCGGAUUCUCGCGGGCUGCAGGGCUUGUGUUACACACGAGAGGCCGAGACCCGGGCCCGCAUGCAGUAAAUAUAGCACCGCCGCUCGGGGCUGCGUGUGGGACCGCGGCCCCUUCCUCCUCCCGGGGCUGCCCCCCGGCUCCCACUGCUCCCUGCACUGGUGGCACUGGGGAGGGCUUUGCUCCUCCUGCCCCACAGCCCGUGCCCCUCCGGCACCGUGUCCGCUGCCCCCUGUGCCCUCUGCGCCCUGUCCCCCGGCCACGGGGUGCCGGCAGGGCGGGGAGGAGAUGUCCCCUCCCAUCCCACCCCAUGCCCAGCACCCGCAGCCAAGGUCACAUUGCUGUCCUGCGUCCCCGUGUCCUCUGCCUGCAGCGGGCACCGUGCGCUCGGCAUCCUUCUAGUGGCAGUGAGGGGAGGGGAUGCUGGGGAGUUGGGGUGUCCCCAGCAGCCAGGCUGUGCCAUGCUGUGCUCCAUGGCGAGGGGACAGCCAGCAGAGCAGUGACAAGGGCAGGGGGAUGAUGGUGACAGGUUGUAGCCUGGGGGAGUGUGUGGCACGCUCAGGACCUGCUCCCUGCUGCUGGGAACAUGGGCACUGCUCGUACCAGGCGUGGUGACACCCGUUCCCAAAGGUCUGUCCCCGUGCAGAUCUUACCUGCGCAACGCCUUCGCAUCCCGUGCUGGCCCCAGCCUGCAGGAUUCCCCUCUCACAGGCCACGAGCAGCCCUGUGCAGGAGCCUGCUGUGACUAUUUCCCCCUGGGAAAAAAAUAAAUCUCACCCCCUCCUCGCAUCCCAGCCAGCUGCGUGCACCCACAGCCACCAAUUACUCAAGCACCCAGUGCCACCGAGCCCAUGGUGCUGGUGGCCACAGCCGGUGGCCGGUUGGUGAUGCAGCGUGUGGUGGGGACAGGAUCCGUGCUGGGGAGCGCAGGGGAGACCCAGCAAGGAGAGGGGUUUGCAGGGUGCUGCUGCCUCUGGAAAGGGGAUUUUGGGGACCCAGCUUCUCCCAGGGGCUCCAUUCCUUGGGGAUGGCCAGGGCAGCAGAUCCUCAGCAGCAGGAAGGGCUCCGUGCCCGGGGAACCGAUGGGGCAGCAGGUGCUGGGGGGCUGUGCGGCAGCAGGGUGACACCCAGAUGUGCGGCCAGCCCCUGUACCUGGGGGCUUCAGCUCAGGGGUGCCAGGCUGCGGGGGACAGCAGCGUCCCCCAGCUCUGGCAGGAGGUUCCCUUUGUGCCAGCUCUGGCGUUCGCGUGACUCGCCUGACGUGCGGGGUCUCCGUGGAAACCCCGCAGCAUCACUGGGAUCGUGGGGCUGUCAGAAAUGUUGUAUAAACAGCUCCCUUUGUGCUGGCUAAUUUGCAAGUUAUUAUGAAGCCAUGAAAAGCUUCACGUUGGGAGGCAGGGGCUGGGAGGAGAGCUGCCGUGCGCCCCGGUGUGUGUGAUGCCCGCCUGCAGCGCGGCACGGGGGGGCUCCUCCCCGGGGGACAGGUGAGCAGCACGGGGACAGGGAGGCUCCAGCUGUGUCCCCACGGGGGUCUCGCAGGUGGGAGGAAGCAGUGUGGCUGGCUGCUGGGCUGGGAAUUUGGCAGCCUCUGCGGGAACCUGGCGGGCAGGGCAUGGGGUGGUGUGGGCACCCUGGGGACGCUCAGCAGUGCCGGGACCCAAACCCACAGCGCGGAGAGGGGCCUGGUGCUGUCACCCGUGGGUGGAGGGCUUGGGGGGUGCUGAGCGGGUCUGGGCAGGGCACCAGAGCUGGCCUGUCUGUGGGCACACUGGGGACAUUAUCUGCCGUUGGGGUGCGCGUGGGAGCCCCGGCGUGGGCUGCGCCCCAGGGUGCUGGGCGCAAUGGGGGCAGGGGGGGAGCCCGUGCCCCGGGCGGUGGGGCAGGGCGCAGGGCACGGCAGGGCACGGAGCAGGGCAGGGGGCUGAGCGGGGGCCGGGAGCCCCUCGCCCCCCGCCACCUGCGCCCCGCCCGGCCCCCGCCGCCGCCGCUGCGUGCCAGGGGCUGGCGGGGAGGCGGAGGCGGAGGCAGGCGGGGGAAGGAUGGAGGGAGGAGCGCUCGAGUGAUGCUUCAUGCUCACAGCCCCAGCCCUCCCGAGAGCCCGACCCGGCGAGCCCCUUCCUCUCCCUCGGCCGUGCCCGGCUGCCGCCGGGGAGGAUGCUCGGAGGGGCCCCGGCCCCGCGCCGCGCUGAGCCCCGGCCCCCCGCCGGCAGCGGGCGGGCGUCCUGCCGGGCCUGAGCCGCCGGGGCCGGGCCGCCGGGGCUCUGCAGAAGCAUGAAGAAGAUCUGGGUGAAGAAGCGCUUCCAGAAGACCGGCCACUCGCGGCGCUUCGGGCGCUUCACGCAUGCGAAGUUUUCCGCUCCUGCAGGAAACAAAGCUACGGUAGGAAGACGCCCGCCUCCUGCCAGCCCCGCUCCCAGAACGGGCCCCUGGGCCCCCUCCCUGUCGCGAUGCCCCCUCUGUCCCCCUGUGCUGCCUCCUCGUCUCCACCACCCCAAUUUCAGCCGCCUUCCCCCGCAUUGCAACCCCAGCACCACCUCCCCUCCUGCCUCCACCCCACCUCUGACCAUUUACUGCUGCUCCUGCCCUUGGUCCCGCCGGACUUUCCAGCCUUGGUUCUGCCUUUCCCCGCCGGCAGCUUGUCCCUUCCGUGUCCCCAGUGUCACAGUCAUGCCUCUCCUACCGCCUCAGCCUUCUGCUGCCUGGAGCUGCCCGGGCACUGCUCGUCUGCCGCCUGAGCUGGUGGCUCUGCGAGGAGCAGUGCCAGCCUGCCCUGCAUGCCCCCGUGUCCCCUCACCCCCUGCUCUCCCU